GUCGAUGGGAGGAGAGGAAAAAUACACGGUGAGUUCCCUACCCAUGUAUGGCAGAUGAACACGGGAGAUUUGGAUCUCUUGUGAGUGACAGGCGUUGUAGGUUUUCCGGAUUAAGGAGAUCCCUAGAGAGCAGUUGAAACAGGUGGUUUUUAGU
Molecule: small nucleolar RNA, 154 nt
Organism: Caenorhabditis elegans
Lineage: Eukaryota; Metazoa; Nematoda; Chromadorea; Rhabditida; Rhabditidae
Source: Ensembl